AUACGAACAAAGCCGGAAGUUGGAUAAAUUACAGUUUGAAAUCGUGGCGCUUGGCGUAAAGUCCAGAGAAAAAAUAUAUGAAAAACUCGAUUCUCUGGGAGAUGGUUAGACUAUACCAACGACACGAUAGUUGCCAUCAAGAAGGUGGUGAUUAAAGAUACCAUUCUGGUGCUGACUCCAGCCAACAUCAAAGGCUUCAUAGUGAUGACUCUACUGGGCCUGGAGUACAUGCACCACACACUGUCAUACAAUACACACCUUCUCAUAGGUGCUUGUGUCAGUAAACGCUGUGUACGAUCUGAAACCCAAUAACCUGCUGCUGGAUAAGAAUGGGCUGCUGAAGCUGUCUGAUUUUUGUUUGAGUAAAACUCUCGGCAGCCCUACAGUCUACACUCACCAGGUGGCGUGGUUCUCCAGAGUUGUUCAGUGCCAGGAUGCAUGGGGUGGGCGUCGACAUGUGGGCCAUGGACUGCGUCCUUGCGGAGCUUCCGCAGCCUCUGAGGGUGAGGUACUUUACGAACAGCCCCAGCUGCCCCAGCACAACUCCUCAUCUGAGCCUCUCAUAGAGAAUCAAGAGGAAACGAGAUGGUCUGGAGACAAGGAAUGAACAACACAGACACACACGCACAUCUCAGCAUUGGAAUCAAUAGCACAGACAUUAUUAUUCCAUCAUACACCAGAGAUAGAAGGUUAAAUACCUCCUUGACAUGUUUGUGUUUGACCAUGAUAUUAAUAAAAACAUGGUAAAUAUUA
This is a non-coding RNA of Oncorhynchus mykiss (rainbow trout), 753 nucleotides long. NCBI's taxonomy places the organism in Eukaryota, Metazoa, Chordata, Actinopteri, Salmoniformes, Salmonidae. The record is from RefSeq and is a predicted model, not a curated record.